GACGAACGCUGGCGGCGUGCUUAACACAUGCAAGUCGAACGGAAAGGCCCUGCUUUUGUGGGGUGCUCGAGUGGCGAACGGGUGAGUAACACGUGAGUAACCUGCCCUUGACUUUGGGAUAACUUCAGGAAACUGGGGCUCAUACCGGAUAGGAGCUCCUGCUGCAUGGUGGGGGUUGGAAAGUUUCGGCGGUUGGGGAUGGACUCGCGGCUUAUCAGCUUGUUGGUGGGGUAGUGGCUUACCAAGGCUUUGACGGGUAGCCGGCAUGAGAGGGUGACCGGCAACAUUGGGACUGAGAUACGGCCCAGACUCCUACGGGAGGCAGCAGUGGGGAAUAUUGCACAAUGGGCGGAAGCCUGAUGCAGAAACGCCGCGUGCGGGAUGACGGCCUUCGGGUUGUAAACCGCUUUCGCCUGUGACGAAGCGUGAGUGACGGUAAUGGGUAAAGAAGCACCGGCUAACUACGUG
Molecule: ribosomal RNA, 468 nt
Filed under: uncultured bacterium
Lineage: Bacteria
Description: partial 16S ribosomal RNA
Rfam family: Bacterial small subunit ribosomal RNA
Source: RNAcentral